Molecule: ribosomal RNA, 253 nt
Filed under: uncultured bacterium
Lineage: Bacteria
Description: partial 16S ribosomal RNA
Rfam family: Bacterial small subunit ribosomal RNA
Source: RNAcentral
CACGAACUGCGCGAACGUUAUUCGGAAUCACUGGGCUUAAAGAGUGCGUAGGCGGCCGGGUAAGUUAAAUGUGAAAGCCCACGGCUCAACCGUGGAAUUGCGUUUAAUACUGCUCGGCUUGAGGAAGACAGAGGUAAGCGGAACUGAUGGUGGAGCGGUGAAAUGCGUUGAUAUCAUCAGGAACACCAGUGGCGAAGGCGGCUCACUGGGUCUUUUCUGACGCUGAGGCACGAAAGCUAGGGGAGCGAACGGG